Molecule: long non-coding RNA, 759 nt
Filed under: Cricetulus griseus (Chinese hamster)
Lineage: Eukaryota; Metazoa; Chordata; Mammalia; Rodentia; Cricetidae
Description: lncRNA (ENSCGRG00015043429.1)
Source: RNAcentral
CCAUAUUGUUGUCUUUAAAUUGUUUGAUUGCCGAGGAAAGAAUUACUGCUGCUAAAAUACAUUUGAUUAUAAAUGCUGCUCAAUUAAUCCAACUUAUACAUUUUGAAAAUGCUUUGACUUCAAAAUUUAAGUUUAAGUACAGGCUACUUAGAAAUAAAGGUUUUGCUUGUAUUUCCACAGAAAAUGAAAAGCUGUGGAUUCCUUCCAGACUAAUAUGGUUUGAUCAAGCAAGACCCCCUGAAGCUGAGAUGAUACAGCCUUACAGACUACAAAAACAAGGACUUGGGUUUAUCUUGGCAAUGAAACACAACUGCUCCUGGCACACCAAUUACAUCAGAAAGGAGGAUGGACAUCGAAGAAAGUCAUUAUGGAGUUUGCUUUCAACAUGGCAAGAUUAGCCAUUUGGGCAAGAAACUGCUCUUGCCUGGACUGUUUUUUGCUGUAUAAACUGGACAUACAGGACCCACAAGAAAGUGACUGCUGAACUUACAAAACAAGACAAUACUGAAGGGUUCCUGUUGAAAUGGAGAAGUGUGCCAGACACACUGUGGCCUAAAGGCUGAAGAUGGAUGCCCCAAAGUUACAGAGGAACUUUGACUGUCCAGGUUUUGCAGCAGGCAAGAUGGCCCUUCCCUUUAUGGGAGAGCUUGACCCUACACUUAGGAAAUAUGGCCCCACCCACAUCAUAGAUAUACACCUCACCUGGGAAGCAUAGAGCUGACACUGUGGUCAGUGACAGAGGUGAACUGAGUGUGCAUG